AAAAGAUUUUUCUAGUCUGGAUUUUCUAUUCAAAUUUAAAUUAAAUGCAAGAUUUUUCAAGAAAGAUAUUUAUUUAUAGAUUGAAUUAUUUUAAGAAAUAGAAUCGCAGUAAUAAAUUUUAUUUUAUAUAAGAGAUUAAGAAAUAGUAAUAUUUUUAGUAUGAACAAAGUUUGUGCCAGCAGUUGCGGUUAUACAGAUUAUGCUAUAGAAAAUUUUUCGGUAAGUAGUAUUUAUAAGAUUUUGAAUUUAAAUAAAAAUUUAUUAAGUGAAAUUUUAAAUUUUAAGUUAAGUUUUUAUGUAAGUUAUAAGACUAAUAAGAUAUUUUAUUAGACUAGGAUUAGAUACCCUAUUAUUAAUAAAGUAAUUUUUUAUGCCCAGUUAGUAACAGUUUAAUAUCUUGGAAAUUAAAGAAGUUGGCGGUAUUUUAGUCUAUUCAGAGGAAUCUGCCCUAUAAUUGAUAUUCCACGAUUUAAAUUACUUAUUUUAAUUAGUUUGCAUAUCGCCGUAGGUUGAAUAUUUUUAAAGGGUUAUAUAAUAUUCAGAAUUUUUAGUGAAAAUAAAUCAGGUCAAGAUGUAGCUUAUAGGUAAGUAGAGGUGGAUUACAAUAAAUUUAUUUAUAAUGGAUUAGUUAAUGAAAGUUAAUUUUGAAGGUGGAUUUGAUAGUAAUUUUAUUUAAAUUUUUAAAAUGAUUUUAGCUCUAAAAUAUGUACAUAUCGCCCGUCACUUCCACUCUAAAGUGGAAUAAGUCGUAACAUAGUAGAGGUACUGGAAAGUGUCCCUAGAAAGU
Molecule: non-coding RNA, 787 nt
Filed under: Pantoxystus rubricollis
Lineage: Eukaryota; Metazoa; Arthropoda; Insecta; Coleoptera; Curculionidae
Source: RNAcentral